UUGCCAGCAGCCGCGGUAAUUCCAGCUCCAAUAGCGUAUAUUAAAGUUGUUGCAGUUAAAAAGCUCGUAGUUGAACUUUGGGCCUGGGCGGGCGGUCUACCUAUGGUUUGUACUGCUGCGGCCGGGUCUUUCCUUCUGGCUACCCCUCCGGGGGGAACCAGGACGAUUACUUUGAGGAAAUUAGAGUGUUCAAAGCAGGCCUUUGCUCGGAUAUAUUAGCAUGGAAUAAUAGAAUAGGACGUAUGGUUCUAUUUUGUUGGUUUCUAGGACCAUCGUAAUGAUUAAUAGGGACGGUCGGGGGCAUCAGUAUUCAGUCGUCAGAGGUGAGAUUCUUGGAUUGACUGAAGACUAACUACUGCGAAAGCAUUGCCAAGGACGUUCAUAUCAGAUGAAAGUGA
Molecule: ribosomal RNA, 398 nt
Filed under: uncultured fungus
Lineage: Eukaryota; Fungi
Description: SSU rRNA
Rfam family: Eukaryotic small subunit ribosomal RNA
Source: RNAcentral